Molecule: ribosomal RNA, 588 nt
Filed under: Fusarium sambucinum
Lineage: Eukaryota; Fungi; Ascomycota; Sordariomycetes; Hypocreales; Nectriaceae
Description: eukaryotic LSU rRNA
Rfam family: 5.8S ribosomal RNA (bases 206-359)
Source: RNAcentral
GGAAGUAAAAGUCGUAACAAGGUCUCCGUUGGUGAACCAGCGGAGGGAUCAUUACCGAGUUUACAACUCCCAAACCCCUGUGAACAUACCUUAAUGUUGCCUCGGCGGAUCAGCCCGCGCCCCGUAAAACGGGACGGCCCGCCAGAGGACCCAAACUCUAAUGUUUCUUAUUGUAACUUCUGAGUAAAACAAACAAAUAAAUCAAAACUUUCAACAACGGAUCUCUUGGUUCUGGCAUCGAUGAAGAACGCAGCAAAAUGCGAUAAGUAAUGUGAAUUGCAGAAUUCAGUGAAUCAUCGAAUCUUUGAACGCACAUUGCGCCCGCUGGUAUUCCGGCGGGCAUGCCUGUUCGAGCGUCAUUUCAACCCUCAAGCCCCCCGGGUUUGGUGUUGGGGAUCGGCUCUGCCCUUCUGGGCGGUGCCGCCCCCGAAAUACAUUGGCGGUCUCGCUGCAGCCUCCAUUGCGUAGUAGCUAACACCUCGCAACUGGAACGCGGCGCGGCCAUGCCGUAAAACCCCAACUUCUGAAUGUUGACCUCGGAUCAGGUAGGAAUACCCGCUGAACUUAAGCAUAUCAAUAAGCGGAGGA